CCUACGGGAGGCAGCAGUAGGGAAUCUUCCACAAUGGGCGAAAGCCUGAUGGAGCAACGCCGCGUGGGUGAAGAAGGUCUUCGGAUCGUAAAACCCUGUUGUUAGAGAAGAAAGUGCGUGAGAGUAACUGUUCACGUUUCGACGGUAUCUAACCAGAAAGCCACGGCUAACUACGUGCCAGCAACCGCGGUAAUUCGUAGGUGGCAAGCGUUAUCCGGAUUUAUUGGGCGUAAAGGGAACGCAGGCGGUCUUUUAAGUCUGAUGGGAAAGCCUUCGGGUUAACCGGAGUAGUGCAUUGGAAACUGGGAGACUUGAGUGCAGAAGAGGAGAGUGGAACUCCAUGUGUAGCGGUGAAAUGCGUAGAUAUAACGCAGAACCCCGAUUGCGAAGGCAGCAUGCCGGCUUCCGACUGACGCUGAAGCACGAAAGCGUGGGGAUCGAACAGGAUUAGAUACCCCUGUAGUC
This 465-nucleotide ribosomal RNA is filed under the name uncultured bacterium. Its description in RNAcentral is "partial 16S ribosomal RNA". It matches the Rfam family "Bacterial small subunit ribosomal RNA", at positions 338 to 795 of the family's 1533-position model. The record is from RNAcentral.